Molecule: ribosomal RNA, 491 nt
Filed under: uncultured bacterium
Lineage: Bacteria
Description: partial 16S ribosomal RNA
Rfam family: Bacterial small subunit ribosomal RNA
Source: RNAcentral
AGUGAACGCUGGCGGUAGGCCUAACACAUGCAAGUCGAACGGCAGCACAGGAGAGCUUGCUCUCUGGGUGGCGAGUGGCGGACGGGUGAGGAAUACAUCGGAAUCUGCCCAGUCGUGGGGGAUAACGUAGGGAAACUUACGCUAAUACCGCAUACGACCUUCGGGUGAAAGAGGGGGAUCGCAAGACCUCUCGCGAUUGGAUGAGCCGAUGUCGGAUUAGCUAGUUGGCGGGGUAAUGGCCCACCAAGGCGACGAUCCGUAGCUGGUCUGAGAGGAUGAUCAGCCACACUGGAACUGAGACACGGUCCAGACUCCUACGGGAGGCAGCAGUGGGGAAUAUUGGACAAUGGGCGCAAGCCUGAUCCAGCCAUACCGCGUGGGUGAAGAAGGCCUUCGGGUUGUAAAGCCCUUUUGUUGGGAAAGAAAUCUUUCAGGCUAAUACCCUGGGAGGAUGACGGUACCCAAAGAAUAAGCACCGGCUAACUUCGUGC